Molecule: non-coding RNA, 1199 nt
Organism: Pimephales promelas (fathead minnow)
Lineage: Eukaryota; Metazoa; Chordata; Actinopteri; Cypriniformes; Leuciscidae
Source: RefSeq, a predicted model, not a curated record
CUCUUUAGACAUCACAACACAGAUAGUGUUGAUCUCUUCUGCUGCUGCCGGAUCUCUGUUGAUUAUAGUUACAGUCGUGAUCUGCUGCAUCUGCAGGAAACGUAAAAAAAUAGGUCAGGAGAUAAAACAAAUCAAACCAAGGUUGGAGACAUGAAGGAUUCUGCAUUGUGUAAACCAACAAGACGAAAAAAGAAAUCAAAGGAGGAGAUUUAUGAAAACAUCACCCCAAAACGCUGAUCAAAUUCAACAUCUCUGCCAGGAUAUUUUUAUUCUGACUCUGUUUUGCUUUUUUUUUUUUUUCAUCUAAUGUUUAUUUACUAUUAUUAUGUCUGAUAUUGAGUUGCUGUGGGGGAGACCAGGGAAGGUUGUAACAUGGGAAGAGUAACAUAAUCACUUCAGUGUUUUCCUACUGAAUCCUCCCCAAUCCAGAGAGAGAGAGAGCACUGAGAGACAGAACUGAUUUUGAGUAGUCUGGGAAAACCCAGAUGAACUGGAUUUGAGAUUUGCUCUGCAAGUCAGUCUGUCCAAGAUCCAUUCAAGCACAUUUACAAUUUUUCCAAAUUUUCCAAGCACCAAUCACAAACAUUAAGGUUUAAACAUUUAAAGCCUUACACGAUGACCAUCGCUUUGAUUGGUUUUAGAUCUAUUUCGCCCAGAGGCAUUUAAGCGGCGUCCGUUGGCGAUGCCCCUUUGAAAAUGGGCUGUGAAUGAACCUUCCCCAGGUUUAGGAUUUUGUAUAUAUAGUAUACAGGUUAUAUCAAAUAUAGUAUUGGUCAAAAUUUGUACCAGGGUCUGGUGUCAACCAGGCUAGAUUUUGAGGUCAAUACUAUCUUUUGUUUAGUAACAGUACUGUUGCAGAUAAAAUUCUAUGAAUUAUAUUAUUUUAUCAUAAUUUCCCUCCUGCUAAUUUCAACUAUGCUAAUACAGCUAGCUAAACAUUGGUUGACAGGGGUGGGUGGGUUGUAACACUUAUUUAAAAAGUGUUAUAACCAUCCCUUUAGUAAGAAUAUUCUUGAUUUUAACGUUUUUAAAGGGCAUAAAGAAAAACUGACAAGAGGUGCCUCUGCCAGUGUUUUAUGUAAAGUGGUUUGCAUGAAGCAAUUAAACAACUCAAAGCCAAAGAAGGUUUGGGUGAAAUGCACCCUAUGCAGUUUCUGGGCCCAUCAAGCCACUCGGCACACAUAAUCUGUCAGAACUGU